This 477-nucleotide ribosomal RNA is filed under the name uncultured organism. RNAcentral's name for it is "bacterial SSU rRNA". It matches the Rfam family "Bacterial small subunit ribosomal RNA", at positions 432 to 910 of the family's 1533-position model. The record is from RNAcentral.
GCUUUUAUAAGGGAAUAAAGUGAGUCUCGUGAGACUUUUUGCAUGUACCUUAUGAAUAAGGACCGGCUAAUUCCGUGCCAGCAGCCGCGGUAAUACGGAAGGUCCGGGCGUUAUCCGGAUUUAUUGGGUUUAAAGGGAGCGUAGGCCGGAGAUUAAGCGUGUUGUGAAAUGUAGAUGCUCAACAUCUGCACUGCAGCGCGAACUGGUUUCCUUGAGUACGCACAAAGUGGGCGGAAUUCGUGGUGUAGCGGUGAAAUGCUUAGAUAUCACGAAGAACUCCGAUUGCGAAGGCAGCUCACUGGAGUGCAACUGACGCUGAAGCUCGAAAGUGCGGGUAUCGAACAGGAUUAGAUACCCUGGUAGUCCGCACGGUAAACGAUGGAUGCCCGCUGUUGGUCUGAAUAGGUCAGCGGCCAAGCGAAAGCAUUAAGCAUCCCACCUGGGGAGUACGCCGGCAACGGUGCAACUCAAAUGAAU